GACGAACGCUGGCGGCGUGCUUAACACAUGCAAGUCGAACGGAAAGGCCCUGCUUUUGUGGGGUGCUCGAGUGGCGAGCGGGUGAGUAACACGUGAGUAACCUGCCCUUGACUGUGGGAUAACUUCAGGGAACUGGGGCUAAUACCGGAUAGGAGCUCCUGCUGCAUGGUGGGGGUUGGAAAGUUUCGGCGGUUGGGGAUGGACUCGCGGCUUAUGAGCUUGUUGGUGGGGUAGUGGCUUACCAAGGCUUUGACGGGUAGCCGGCCUGAGAGGGUGACCGGCGACAUUGGGACUGCGAUAGGGACCAGACUCCUACGGGAGGCAGUAGUGGGGAAUAUUGCAGAAUGGCGGGAAGCGUGAUGCAGAAACGCCGCGUGCGGGAUGACGGCCUUCGGGGUGUAAACCGCUUUCGCAUGUGACGAAGCGUGAGUGACGGUAAUGGGUAAGGAAGCAACGGCUAACUACGUG
This 468-nucleotide ribosomal RNA is filed under the name uncultured bacterium. RNAcentral describes it as "partial 16S ribosomal RNA". It matches the Rfam family "Bacterial small subunit ribosomal RNA", at positions 28 to 507 of the family's 1533-position model. The record is from RNAcentral.